UACGUAGGGUGCAAGCGUUGUCCGGAAUCAUUGGGCGUAAAGCGCGUGUAGGCGGCUUGGUAAGUCCGCUCUGAAAGCCCGGGGCUCAACCCCGGGAGGCGGGUGGAUACUGUCGGGCUUGAGUACGGAAGAGGCGAGUGGAAUUCCUGGUGUAGCGGUGAAAUGCGCAGAUAUCAGGAGGAACACCGGUGGCGAAGGCGGGUCUCUGGGCCGUAACUGACGCUGAGGAGCGAAAGCGUGGGGAGCGAACAGG
Molecule: ribosomal RNA, 253 nt
Filed under: uncultured bacterium
Lineage: Bacteria
Description: partial 16S ribosomal RNA
Rfam family: Bacterial small subunit ribosomal RNA
Source: RNAcentral